GUAAUGUCUGGGAAACUGCCUGAUGGAGGGGGAUAACUACUGGAAACGGUGGCUAAUACCGCAUAACGUCGCAAGACCAAAGAGGGGGACCUUCGGGCCUCUUGCCAUCAGAUGUGCCCAGAUGGGAUUAGCUAGUUGGUGAGGUAACGGCUCACCAAGGCGACGAUCCCUAGCUGGUCUGAGAGGAUGACCAGCCACACUGGAACUGAGACACGGUCCAGACUCCUACGGGAGGCAGCAGUGGGGAAUAUUGCACAAUGGGCGCAAGCCUGAUGCAGCCAUGCCGCGUGUAUGAAGAAGGCCUUCGGGU
RNAcentral lists this ribosomal RNA (310 nucleotides) under Salmonella enterica. RNAcentral describes it as "bacterial SSU rRNA". It matches the Rfam family "Bacterial small subunit ribosomal RNA", at positions 110 to 423 of the family's 1533-position model. Lineage: Bacteria; Pseudomonadati; Pseudomonadota; Gammaproteobacteria; Enterobacterales; Enterobacteriaceae. RNAcentral also lists the same sequence under 1 other name. The record is from RNAcentral.